UAGGCUCAUCCCUGAUUCGAGAGGCAGCAUCUCACUGUGCCACCCCUGGAGGAGCACAGGGAAGGAGAGGCGAGAGGCAGACGCAAAGUCGACGGGGGAGUGGUGGCUGUUGAUCCCGCGCCACAAGGGCGCGAAAAUCUCAGUUGAAAAGAAAACCAUCAUAUUAAGAAGUACUGUCAACUGGUUAACAUUGGACAUGUAGAUCUUGAUGUCUUCUCUGAAUUAUGCUAAUACCUUCAGGUUAUAUUUAAGUGCUUGCUACAAAACGGAAAACCCCGACAAUCAGGAGAGAAGCAAUACCAAGGGUGAACUACUAGUUUACCAAAAGAGGUGUCAUCUGCCCAACCAAAGGAGACCUAUAGAUGCCAGACAAACCAUUAUGGAACAUCAGUGGACAAAAGACUGUUUUCCCAUACAACCAUGAAGAGUGGACAUGCACAAACACUCAUCUCAUCACAGCUUAAACUCAGGAAGGGAAUAAAAAUCCCUCUCAGGAAGAAAUUGUCAUCACUAUGUAGCUUGGAAUUUGAAGAGGGCAAUAUUUCUAACUAUAAGCAAUCCCCAAACUGCUUGGCUUGUGUUAGCUCCAACACACACACAGAGCUUGCACAUUACAGCAGCUUCUAUUACUCUUUAGAACCUAAG
Long non-coding RNA from Mauremys mutica (yellowpond turtle), 645 nucleotides. RefSeq lists it as uncharacterized. The transcript has 3 exons. The record is from RefSeq and is a predicted model, not a curated record. NCBI's taxonomy places the organism in Eukaryota, Metazoa, Chordata, Testudines, Geoemydidae.